Long non-coding RNA from Bos taurus (domestic cattle), 2261 nucleotides. The record is from Ensembl. Lineage: Eukaryota; Metazoa; Chordata; Mammalia; Artiodactyla; Bovidae.
AAGCAUGGUCUCCGUGCCCCCAGGAAUUCGACCGUUUUGUGGCUUCUUAGCUUAUUUGGCAAUAAAGCGAUGCUCGAAAUAAUGUUUUUCAGAGACUUGGUGCUGUUGCGGAGGAAAGACCCGACCUUGAAGACCUUCAAGGUAGCCAGUCCCUUCCUUCCAGCUGAAAUGAGGACCAGAAGUUUUGACGCUGCCUGGAAAUCUUAAUGUUUCACCUGCAACCCCGGCUCAUUUUCUUUGCAUUUAGGCAUCAACUGAGAAGCCAUGGCUGGCUUCUGAUUUUUCCAUUCUGCCUGUACUUCAUGAGAUGCUACGAUGAACUGAUGCAUCGGCGGGAGAUGGUACAAGCCCGUCCCAGGAUGUCGGUACAAGCCCCUCCCAGGAUGGAGGUGACUUCACGGUGUACCCAGUCUCUUAGAGCAGAGAAACAGACGGCCACGAUCCAGCCACGUGCCCAUCUUCGCUAAACCGUGAUGGGACUGGUAAUCAUUAAAAAAGCGUAACCCUUCACAAUUGUGACAGCUUGUUUCUCUCGUGGCCUGAGUCCGUGUCCGAAAACAUCAGGUCCUCGUCUCUAGAAUCUGGGGAUGUGAUGUUUGUUGGACAAGAAGUCCCUGCAGAGCUCAGCCCUGCCUGAAAAUCCCAGCUAUUCAAGGAAGUCCUUGUCCGUCCAGAUGCCCCGCCCUGCCCAAGCUGUUGCCUGGGAACCCGGAGGCUCUGAAAAUGCUGAGGGAUCGAAGGCGAGUCAGCAGCAGAAACGGGAAACACUCGACCUUUAGAUUCAGGUCAGCGCUCCUCCGAGUCGGUGGAGAGCACAGCGUUCCACGUCCAUCUGGUGUGUCUGCCGAGCAGACCGGGCACGGAAGCACACACAGCCUCUGCCAAAAGACGUCGAUGACGGGUGAGGUCAGCCUUGAGAAUGAUUUUCCAAACGCAUUGGAGCUCCAGAUCAUCCUUUCAGUGCGGAAAGCUGAGAAUUCCAUUAUUAACAGCCUGGAGACGUUUUCUUCUAGGAGCAAAUGGGAAGACGCAAUAGGAGGUGGUGUGGAGUCCCCUCACUCAGAGGGAUGAGGGGUCAGAGGCACAUUCUUUACCAGCUGAGCCAUCAGGGAAACCCGAGAGACGGAACCACUUAAGAAGUCAGGGGCCGUCUUGGUGAGAGUGAUGCGAACUGCCUUGACAAAGACGCCGCAGAAUUUUGUCAACUUAUCGCAGCCGCAGCUGACUCCUCGUUUCAAUUACUCAUCCGUUCCAGGUGUUCCUGCUUGGGGAGAUUUCUUCCAAGUGGGCCUAACUGUAGAGCACAGAAAACUACAUUCAAUAGCCUGUAAUAACCUGUGAGUGGAAAAGAAUCUGAAAAAGCGUGUAUGUGUAACUGAAGCACUCUGCUCACGCUAGAAGCUAACCCAACGAUGUGAAUCUACCAUUCUUCCUGAAACAUCAUUGGCGACAUCCAAAUACGGAUUAAGUGAAGGAUCUGAAAAAGACAAGAGAAUGCAGCUAGUUGGCUAGACAGUACAGAAUGCAGACACCCUUGAUGCCACAGCAAAAUUCCUAAAGGGCCCCAGGAAGUUUCCCUGCAUUCUUCUGCAUUCACUGCUGAGGAAGCAACACCUUUUCCCGUCUCCCCAUUACGGUCAUGGCAUUUGGAGGAACUGGUCGUUGGCAGCCCUCCAGGCUGUGAGGUAAUCAACCCAGAAUAUUUAUCAGAAGGGCUGAUGCUGAAGCGCCAAGACUUUGACCACCUGAUGCAAAGAGCAGACUCAUUAGAAAGCCUCUGAUGCUGGGAAAGAUUGAAGGUGGGAGGGGAAGGGGACGACAGAGGAUGAGAUGGCUGGAUGGCAUCACCGACUCGAUGGACAUGAGUUUGGGGAAACGCCAGGAGCUGGUGAUGGACAGGGAGGCCUAGCGUGCUGCAGUCCAUGGGGUCGCAAAGAGUCGGACACGCCUGAGCCACUGAACAACAGAACCUGUGGGAAAAUGCUAGUAGGUCUGUCUAGUCAAACCUUUGGUUUUUCCAGGAGUCAUGUAUGGAUGUGAGAGUUGGACUGUAAAGAAGGCUGAGCACUGAAGAAUGGGUGCUUUUGAACUGUGGUGUUGGAGAAGACUCUUGAGAGUCCCUUGGACUGCAAGGAGAUCCAACCAGUCCAUCCUAAAGGAGACCAGUCCUGGGUAUUCAUUGGAAGGACUGAUGCUGAAGUUGAAACUCCAGUACUUCGGCCAGCUCAUGCGAAGAGUUGACUCAUUGGAAAAGAUGCUGA